AUGCCUAGCAGAGACGCGCAGUUUUCUAAAGGAAAAAGAAAAGAAAACACAGAACGCGCACCGCGCUGCUGUUCUGGGGAAUCCAUGGAAGCGGCAACGGCGAGCUCGGUGGUAGGAUCGAGGGCCGAGUUCGGGUCCCGCCUAGGGCUCGCGAGGCCUUGGCUCAGACCCAGCGGCGGCCGCGGCGGUCCUCACACCCCUCUCCCGUUUCGCCAUCUGCCAUGGCCGACCUCGCGCCUCGUCCGCAGCAGAGCAGUCCGGGCGCGGAGCGUCGUCGCCGCCGCAAAUCCUCACCAGCAGCAGGCCGGAGUGGGAGGAGGAGAGGCGAUGGAGCCCGAGAGGGGCAGCCCCCACGAGGUGAGGGAGGAGAUUGCGAGGUGCUACGAGCUCGUCCGCCGCCUCGGCCGUGGCGCCGUCUACCUCGGCUCCUCCAGGGUGCCGGCCGCGCACCCCCACUACCGCCAGACCGCCCAGCUCGCGGCGGAGAUAGCCAAGCUGCUGGACUGCACCACAUGGACGGGCGCCGGCCCCGGCCUCAUGGAUGCUGCCACCCAGGGCGCCCUCGAGGCGGGCAAGCCGGUCGGCGGCUUCAGGAUCGGCAAGGAGGCCGGUGAAUGGACAGCCUCGAACUUCCACCCUUACCUGCCCUCGGAGACCUACCUCACCUGCAGGUUCUUCUCGGCAAGGAAGCAUGGCUUAGUGGACGCUGUAGUGCGCAACAGCUCCGCGGACAAAACCGCCAUCGUCGCAUUGCCCGGCGGCAUUGGGACGCUGGAUGAGCUUUUUGAGAUCAUGGCGCUGAUUCAGCUGGAGAGGAUCGGAUCGGCUCUACCGGUCCCGUUAUUGCUGAUGAAUUAUGACUCUUACUACUCCAAACUGCUGGAGUUUCUGAAUGACUGCGAGGACUGGGGCACAGUUGCUCCUGGGGAAGUGGCAUCGCUGUGGAAGAUUUGCAGUGGGAACCACGAAGCCUUGGAGUACUUGGCACAGUUCUACGAUGUGCCUACGGGGGAAAGGAAUUAUGGCAUAUCAUCACCGCCGUCGAAGGUAGACAGGGUUCCUUUCUACACCGUCAGGAGAUGA
RNAcentral lists this ribosomal RNA (1083 nucleotides) under Triticum aestivum (bread wheat). Its description in RNAcentral is "partial small subunit ribosomal RNA". Lineage: Eukaryota; Viridiplantae; Streptophyta; Magnoliopsida; Poales; Poaceae. The record is from RNAcentral.